CUGACUUCAUUUCUUGCCCCUUUACCACAAAACUGAAAACACUGGCACCUUCUCUGACAGCAGGAAACCUGACUGCUUUGUGGAAACUGACCGUUGAAUACCCUUUUCUCUUUACCUCUCUAUCUUCAAUUAUACCUCCUCAUAGGGCUGCCUUAUUGCUUCCCUCAUUAUAUAGACAUGUCUGUUUCCAGGCUCUAUUUAGAACAUAUCUUCAGGUGAAUUAACACUGUUUAUCUCUCCCUUGGCUCUUGUUAUCCAGCAUGUAUCACCUGCCUUCUUUAAAACCUUAUUUUGUGGUGUCUCUGUGAUUAGCGCUUAGAAGUUACUUAGCAUUUGGGAGGAGGAAUGGUUAAGAUUCACUUGUCUGGUAAUUGAGGCUUGUUUUCCUUCCUCCCUUCACUCUGACCAAGUGCCUCAGGCCCAGCACUGAUUCGGGAUGACCCAUUCCAUUGAGAUUCUCAUCCCCUCCCACUUAUGGCUGAUCAGCAAGGCUUUUCAUAUCUCUGCAGGGGCUGCUGUCUUGCCCUUGAAAUUUCCCAAACUCUGGAUGUAGGGGACUUGGCCCUGGGUCAGAACCCUCCCCCUGCAGUAAUGUAUACUAUUAAGCAAAUGGCACUGAGCAAUGUUCUUUCCCCAAGUCAGAAUGCUCCCAUUUAGGUAGAAUUUGAGCCUGCUGCUGGCAGUUAGGAGCCAGAAUGGCAAAGGGAAAUACAAUGUAAAAGCAAUAUGAGUUUGAAUGAAAUUAUGAUAAGUGUCAGAUGGCACCAUUACCCACAGCCCCAUAGGCAGGCAUUAGGGAAGCUCUGUAAUACAAUGCUGGAACAGGAUUCCAAUAGUGGAAGGAAGAGGAGCAUUCCAAACUGGACUGUGAAACAAACAUGUGAACUCUUUGUGGUCCUUUGGGAGCCACGGAUGUAGAAUGAGUGGCUAUGAUUUGUCUGUUGGUUAGAUGAAUGAAUACAGCUCUGGGAUGUUGUAUAUUUCUAGAAUAUUGAUAUUGUGUAUAUCAAUACUUACAUGUAUUUACAGCAUAUUUUCUCCUUGAGCUAAGGAAAAAAGUUAUAUUAAUGUCACAUUUAUUUUCAAUAAUCAGAGUACUGGGUAUUACACACAAAUGAACUCCCAGAUAACUGAAAUUUACUCAUGUGAAAUGUGAAACUAGUUUUAGCUUGACCGUGUUAGGGAGAUAAUUUUCCCAAUGAAAUAAUUGGGUAAAUGUAAUCCUAUGUUAUUAAACUGAAUAUACCAAAUAUAUGUUAUUUCUUGAUUGUUCAGUUUACCAUUAUCAGUAACUAUAAUAUUUUUCGUUGGGAAAGACUUCAUCUGGAAAGCGACAUUAGUGAGUUCCGUUUGUGACUCAGUGGCUUAAGAAACCAACUUAGUAUCCAUGGCCUCACUCAGUGGGUUAAGGAACCAGCAUUGCUGCAAGCUGCCAGGUAGGUCACAAAUACAGCUGGGAUACAGAGUUGCUGUGGCCCUGGGGUAGGCUGCAGCUGUAGCUCUGGUUAGCCUCCUAGCCUGGGAAAUUCCAUAUGUACAAUGGGUAACAUGAUCAACAAGACAGAAGAAUGCAAAUGUAUAUCAGAUUUGAGAAGAGUGAGCAGUCAGUCUUACGUAAAUAGGGUAUAGGGAUAUACAGUGCCUAAUAUAGCUAGGGGAUGAAAUAUCAGAGGAAGAUGCUAGAAUAGACAGUUGUGAUUAAAUUGUAGACGACUUUGUAAGUCAUUAUAAAAAGUGUGAAUUUCAACUAAUAUACAAGGGUGAGUUGUCAAAGGCUUUUCAGCAGGGGAGUGAUAUAUUCUCCUUGAGAUCAUGUCUAUGUCUUUAUGUCUGUAUCACAGGCUGCAUUAAGGAAUAGCUGGGGAGAUGCUUAACACCCUUGCAAUCUUCUUCAGUCCUUCCCCUGAUGGCCAUUUCUGCAAUGUAACAAAAAGGGCUGUGCAAACAGCUUCCAUCCCCUUUCCAAGCAGAUUAUUGUCCCCACAGCCCUUCAAAAUAAAAAUUCUGAAGUGACCUCUGCUUUGUGUUUAUAUCUCCAUGUAUCUCAAUGUCUAGAAAGUGUUUACUACACGCUAGGCAUUGCAUCCUUUUCUUCUUUAUGCACAUUUUCCCAUUUUAAUUUUUCAGUAGUCUCAUGAAAAUAACAUUAUUGUUACCUCCCCAUUUGAAAGAGGAGCAGACCGAGGCUCAGAGAAGUUAAAUAACUGAUCAGUGGUCACAAGGCUAAAAGGUGGCAAGGCAGGACUCAAUCUGUCUGUUCUUGAAGCUCAGCCUAAAGGUGACAUUGACUUAGGUUAAGACACUGGCAGUGGGCCCUGAAAAGAGGAAUUACUUUUGAGAUUAUUUAGGAAAAAAAUCUUUCAAAAUGUCCAGAAAUUCAUUAAUUCAGUUCUGGUAGGACUGUGUUAUGAACCUUUGGAAGUAUCUAUUUAUGCACAGAGAUUAUUUAGAAGAAAGGAGCUUGUCAAGGCAUUCAUUUGAGAGGUCAUUUUGAAACUACUCAUAAGAAAUGGGAUAUUUUUUGUGUGACUGACUUCAGCUUGUGUGUAUGAGUAGCCACUAUUAUUGUUAUUGUGUGUACCCAACAGUAACGAGCCAUAAGUGAUUUUUAGACUCGGGCUUAAAUGACUAAUAAAUUAGAUUCACCACCCCAUCCCUAUUUGUCUUACUCUGUAAGUUUGUGGUCCUAGUUUUUCCUUAAUAAAACAAAGCUCACGUUUUUCUAGAUGUUAGCAUCCAGAAUUCUUUCACAGGCAUUUUUCUUAGUUGACUUGCACAUGGUGAUGUAAAUAAAUGAGGAAGAGAAGAUAUUUAAUGGCCUGCCCAAGGAAAUACAGAUAAUUAGUGGCUGAGCCAGACUAGAAGUCAUAGUUCCUGACUCCUGUGUGUUCUCUGCUUACACAUACAUGGACAUAGCAGGUGCUCAGUUAGUGACUAUCCAAGGGAUAAAUGAAUACAUAGCUAAUAUUAGCAUUGAGUUAUGAACGAAUUGAUACUAAAUUUAUACUAAUUAAUGAUUUCCAAUGCCUGCUCACAAUCCUUUAUUUUAAUGCCACGCUAAGGAUAAUUCAAAUGAACCAUUGCAGUUAACUUCACUGAGGAUAAACUAGCGCUCUAUUGAUUUUGCAGUAGCUUCCAGGGAUUGUGGUGGUGGUUAAAUGUCAUUUUUUUGAUAAAAAGUAAUUACAUUUGGUUAUACAGGAAGGAUGAUUUGUGGUAUAGAAAACAGUAGAUGAGAGAACUUAGGUUCAAAUCCCUGCUCUGUAACUUAUUAAACAUUCUGAUCUUAGGGAAAUUAGGAAACAUUCUGAGCCCCAAUUUCUAUGUUGAUAAGGAUAAUAUUAUAUGCAUCAGUAGGGUUGCUAUGAAAAUCAACUGAGAUAAUAUAUAGGUGGAUGUUCUUUGUGUACUAUAAUAUACUGUACAAAUGCUAUUUGGGGAUUUUGUUAUUAUUUGAUGUUUUAGAUAAGAUUAAAGAAUAUUCAGUAAUAGCCACAAUGCCAAGAAAACCAUGUAACUCCAGUCAGAAAGGAAGGGCUAUAAAGAUGACCAGCCAACAUUACAUUGUAUUCUAACAAAGCAAAAGUUGGAAAUACGUAACGACUCAUUGUUACCAGGCUUACAAAAGGGAAUGUUUCUGGGAGGCAGACAUUCCUUUUUAAAAUUCGCUGUUAGGGGCAUUGCUUGAAAUGGCUUUGUGGUGAAGUGAUUGAAUGUGGAUUUGCGGGCGGAUGACCCAUUUUCCACUAACGUCUCACUCUCUGAAAUAUGACUGCUUUGUCCGCCAAGCUCUGAAGGAGUUGGGCUGUGAAAUCUAACUUACAUGUGUGAAAAUCUACAACAUUAGGGUCCAAGGGCAGGUGGAAAUGUAUUUGCUGUUUUGAAUUUCUUAGUUGUGUUGGUUUGCUUCAUUCCAACCUACCGGGAAACAAACGCACUAUUUUCUACCCCAAACCAGCUCCUUCUCUUGCUUUUCCUAUUACUGUUUCCAGCCCUUUGUUUCUCUCUUUCUUCCCUAGUCACCAAGUCCAGUGACAGCGUCUUAUAUGUGCAUUUCCUCCUCCCUAUAGUCACCAUUUCAUACCCUUAUUGUCUAUGUGCUCUAGAGUCUACUAACUAAUCUCCCUGCCUCCAGCCUCUGUCACCUUGAUGCGUCCUGUCACCUCUCCAGAUGAAUCUGCCAAAACCACUGCUGUGGAUCAUUUCAUCUCCCCACUCAGAUGCUUCUGUGGUUCCCAGUUGCCAACUGAGCAUUCACUUAUCCAGGCUUACCACAAUCUGUUCCAGACCUUAUGUCCCCCCGACUCUCUAUGGACUGUAAUCAAAAUUUUUUUUUCAUGUUUUUUGAAUUAAAUCUUGCUUUUCCCACUCACUGUGCCUUUUUUACCCCCAUCUUAAUAGUACAUUUUUAAUUAAAAUUUUUUAAUUAAAAAUAUUUUAUCACUGUGGCUUUCUUCAAAAUUUUCCUUGCCUUUGGAAGCGUCUUCCUCAUCCUUAUCCCUACCAAACAAUGCCCCAUUCGUUAGGGUGCAGCUCAGUAUACAUCUCAUAUAUGGGGCUUGAAGUCAAAUGUACCAGGCUAAGAUCAUGGCCUCAUUACCCCAGGAUAAGUUAUCUCAUAUGAUCUAUGAUCUAUCCUCUUAGAGCCUCAGUUUCCCAGCCUGGGAAAUGAUGAUAGCCCUAUGACGUAGGUGCUUAUUAUUCCUGUAAUGCAUGAAAGCCUGACCACGUGCCCAGAUAGCAUAAUCACCCAAUAGAAGGUAGUUGUUGCCAGUGAAAGAGAAGAUACAACUCCCCUGUGAAUUUUGAAACAACUUUGUACCACUCUCAGGGGAUUUAGUUUAUACUGGUUUGUCAAUAUUUUUUCCUGUUUCCCUCCUUAAAGAUUGCAGACUCCUGGAGGUUGGGAGACCUUAGGGUAUUUCUAUGUGCAGUGCUUGCAUAAGAUGUUCAGUAAUCAUUUACUGAAGGUGCCAGGGUGGUCCUGGGAAACUGGCCAGGAUCCUGGGCCCUCUGCUUCCUCCACCUUGUUUCAGGAGUAAGUAAGCAAGUAUGUGCAUGGUCUUCACUGGCAGAGUCUAGGUUUCAUUCAGCCCUUCUGUUAGUCCUACUGGUUUUAAAACUACCUAAGAGAAGUCAUCUUCCUGGUGUCAGGCCUCAGGCCUGGAGGGCCCAAUAUGUGGCUUGAACUGCUCACUCCCUAGGGAGGAUCUCUGCCCUUGAAAUUCUCUUCCUUUUCUGUCACCUCCCAGAGGCAUAUGUCUUGACCUGGUAACAUUUUUCCCUUCCAAUC
RNAcentral lists this long non-coding RNA (5293 nucleotides) under Sus scrofa (pig). RNAcentral describes it as "lncRNA (ENSSSCG00030019810.1)". The record is from RNAcentral. Lineage: Eukaryota; Metazoa; Chordata; Mammalia; Artiodactyla; Suidae.